Molecule: transfer RNA, 74 nt
Filed under: Treponema sp.
Lineage: Bacteria; Pseudomonadati; Spirochaetota; Spirochaetia; Treponematales; Treponemataceae
Description: tRNA-Arg
Rfam family: tRNA
About the family: Transfer RNA (tRNA) molecules are approximately 80 nucleotides in length.
Source: RNAcentral
GAGAGAUUAGCUCAUCUGGAUAGAGCGGCAGCCUCCGGAGCUGCAGGUAGUGCGUUCGAAUCGCAUAUCUCUCA